UACGUAGGGUGCAAGCGUUGCCCGGAUUUAUUGGGCGUAAAGGGCGCGUAGGCGGCUCGGCACGUCCGUUGUGAAAUCGCCCGGCUCAACUGGGCGGGGUCAGCGGAUACGGCCGAGCUUGAGCAAGCUAGGGGGCAAUGGAAUUCCCGGUGUAGUGGUGGAAUGCGUAGAUAUCGGUAGGAACACCAGUGGCGAAGGCGGUCUCCUGGGGCAUUCUUGACGCUGAGGCGCGAAAGCUGGGGGAGCGAACGGG
Molecule: ribosomal RNA, 253 nt
Filed under: uncultured bacterium
Lineage: Bacteria
Description: partial 16S ribosomal RNA
Rfam family: Bacterial small subunit ribosomal RNA
Source: RNAcentral